CCUACGGGAGCAGCAGUGAGGAAUAUUGGACAAUGGGCGCAAGCCUGAUCCAGCCAUGCCGCGUGCAGGAAGAAGCAUCUAUGGUGUGUAAACUGCUUUUGUACGGGAAGAAACACUGCUACGUGUAGCAGCUUGACGGUACCGUAAGAAUAAGGAUCGGCUAACUCCGUGCCAGCAGCCGCGGUAAUACGGAGGAUCCAAGCGUUAUCCGGAAUCAUUGGGUUUAAAGGGUCCGUAGGCGGUUUGGUAAGUCAGUGGUGAAAGCCCAUCGCUUAACGAUGGAACGGCCAUUGAUACCGCCAGACUUGAAUUACUAGGAAGUAACUAGAAUAUGUAGUGUAGCGGUGAAAUGCUUAGAUAUUACAUGGAAUACCAAUUGCGAAGGCAGGUUACUACUAGUUUAUUGACGCUGAUGGACGAAAGCGUGGGGAGCGAACAGGAUUAGAUACCCUGGUAGUCCACGCCGUAAACCGAUGGAUACUAGCUGUUCGGGGUAACCUGAGUGGCUAAGCGAAAGUGAUAAGUAUCCCACCUGGGGAGUACGGUUCGCAAGAAUGAAACUCAAAGGAAUUGACGG
RNAcentral lists this ribosomal RNA (577 nucleotides) under uncultured bacterium. Its description in RNAcentral is "bacterial SSU rRNA". It matches the Rfam family "Bacterial small subunit ribosomal RNA", at positions 338 to 916 of the family's 1533-position model. The record is from RNAcentral.